Rhea pennata is the source of this 691-nucleotide long non-coding RNA. RefSeq lists it as uncharacterized. The transcript is spliced from 3 exons. The record is from RefSeq and is a predicted model, not a curated record. NCBI's taxonomy places the organism in Eukaryota, Metazoa, Chordata, Aves, Rheiformes, Rheidae.
ACUGACUAGCAUAUACUAAUCCAGAGCAGUGUUUGUCCCAUAGGAAUUGUAAUGCUAAUUCCACAUCCUCAGAUGAGAGACAGAACGAGACACAGAGAGAGACAGCCCUUUCUUACCUUGUAAUCCAAGUUGGGAGGGAUCAGAAACCCAGGAGCUAAGUACGUUUCACCUUCCAGCAUCUCUACCCGGAUGUAUUCACUCAGGCACAGCCAUCGUACGUCUGAUCCCUUUUCAUCCCAUCUGUACUCGGGUCGCUGCGGUGCACGUCUGUAAGGCCCUGGGUGAGCAGCACCCUCCCCGGCAGCAGAGCGGCCAGCCCUAGCCACCGCACCUUCCUUCUUGGUGUGGGCUUUGCCUUUCAGCUUCCAGGUAAUUAUACAGCACAUUAAUUGAUAUGGUCAAGUCACCAUUAUUGAAGGGGUAAGAUCUAUUCCAUCCCUGUGCUCCAAAUUUGCGCCGUUCAGCCACCACCGCAUGGAAGUAACAGAGUGCAAACAAGAUGCAUUUGAACUCAAUUUCUCUGCUGCACAUCUCCAAAGUGUCCUGUAGUGGAAGAAAACUGAGAGUGGGUUUGCAGGCAAGAGUGAGUGUCGCCUUGUCCAUCAGCCUAUUAAUGAAAAUUAACAGGUAAUGGCAAAGCAGAACUGAAAGUCAUUUAUUAAAACAAUACAUAAAAUUCUGUUUUUAAGGA